ACGGAAGGCAGCAGUGGGGCAUAUUGCACAAUGGGCGAAAGCCUGAUGCAGCGACGCCGCGUGAGCGAAGAAGUAUUUCAGUAUGUAAAGCUCUAUCAGCAGGGAAGAAAAAUGACGGUACCUGACUAAGAAGCACCGGCUAAAUACGUGCCAGCAGCCGCGGUAAUACGUAUGGUGCAAGCGUUAUCCGGAUUUACUGGGUGUAAAGGGAGCGCAGGCGGUACGGCAAGUCUGAUGUGAAAGCCCGGGGAUCAACCCCGGUACUGCAUUGGAAACUGUCGAACUAGAGUGUCGGAGGGGUAAGUGGAAUUCCUAGUGUAGCGGUGAAAUGCGUAGAUAUUAGGAGGAACACCAGUGGCGAAGGCGGCUUACUGGACGAUCACUGACGCUGAGGCUCGAAAGCGUGGGGAGCAAACAGGAUUAGAUACCCUGGUA
RNAcentral lists this ribosomal RNA (435 nucleotides) under uncultured Lachnospiraceae bacterium. RNAcentral describes it as "partial 16S ribosomal RNA". It matches the Rfam family "Bacterial small subunit ribosomal RNA", at positions 341 to 792 of the family's 1533-position model. Lineage: Bacteria; Bacillati; Bacillota; Clostridia; Lachnospirales; Lachnospiraceae. The record is from RNAcentral.